UGCACUCCUGUGGAGUUAACUUGUGCUGCUAAGACAGACGAACCAGCUUGUCACUAAAUCUGACUAGCCUCCGGUCUCAAGCUAGGCAUAAGUCUCCACAGAUGCUAUACCUGUAUACCUGAGCACUUUGGCCACUUUGCUUCUGGGUGCCGCCCCCUGCCUCUCCGAUGGUUGGGGACUGUGUGAAUCCCAUCUGCAGCGGUUUCUCAUUUUUUCCUGCCUAGGUUAUCCUUUUGGCUGUCAACUUGUGUCCAUCUGGCCUGAUUUUUCAGGAAGGUGAUGGUAUCAGGGUAUUAUACACCCUGUUGUUUGUUUACAUCCACUACGGACCAGCAGAAUCCAAACUCUGAUCUCAACCACCCCUGAAGAAGCCUAACCAGGCGAAAUAUAUAGGGUUUACCAACCGGGUUGUGAUCUCUGCUACAGUAUUUAUGUCUGUUAUGGAAA
Long non-coding RNA from Rana temporaria (common frog), 447 nucleotides. RefSeq lists it as uncharacterized. Lineage: Eukaryota; Metazoa; Chordata; Amphibia; Anura; Ranidae. The transcript has 4 exons. The record is from RefSeq and is a predicted model, not a curated record.